UACAGAGGUCCCAAGCGUUGUUCGGAUUCACUGGGCGUAAAGGGUGCGUAGGUGGUGAGGUAAGUCGGAUGUGAAAGCUCGGAGCUCAACUCCGAAAUGGCAUUGGAAACUACCUUGCUCGAGGGUUGGAGGGGGGACUGGAAUGCUUGGUGUAGCAGUGAAAUGCGUAGAUAUCAAGAGGAACACCAGUGGCGAAGGCGAGUCCCUGGACGAUACCUGACACUGAGGCACGAAAGCUAGGGGAGCAAACAGG
This 253-nucleotide ribosomal RNA is filed under the name uncultured bacterium. RNAcentral's name for it is "partial 16S ribosomal RNA". It matches the Rfam family "Bacterial small subunit ribosomal RNA", at positions 524 to 776 of the family's 1533-position model. The record is from RNAcentral.